GGGGACCCCGGGAAACCCUGCCCCUCCCCACCCACUCCCCCACACCGCCGCCGCCUCGGGACGCCAAGGAAGGGGGCGAGAGAUGAGGCAACUGAACACCAGAGAUGCGAGAUGAGUUUUUGGAAAUCAGGCAACUAAUUAGCAGCAGAACGAAGCCCUUUUCCUUGGAAGAAUCCAAGUGGACUGUGGAAACUUAUAGAAUCUACAUGUCUACCGCUCAAACAUGGAGCAACUGACAGAGGCCACAGAAGCCAGAGUUAAGAAACCGUAAGCAAAGGGAGGGGAGGACCCUUGCUCUAUUCCAGCUCCAGCCCAAUGCCAAGCUCUUGGAGCUGAGUAACCACCUGUUGAUUGAUCGUUACCGUGGCAAGAGCCUCCGAAAGAGCAUGAACAAACAAGUGAGGAGACUGAGCACAGAGAGUGAAGCGAUUUGGCACAGGUCAAACCACUGUUACGAGGAGGAGGAGGAGGGACGCAAGCUCCACCCCCCUGACCGCAGAGCCUGGGCAGGAAAUCACCACUUUCACUGAUGUUAUUCUGUCACUUUCAUAUCCACGAAAUGAAUAGGCAUUUACAGGGGAAGAUGUACAAUAUGGAUAUAAAACAACAAUCAGAAUCAUUUAUUACUUACCUGCUCUGGUGGUACUGACAACAGAAUAAAAGGAAUCACAUCAACAAUAAUAAAAAACUUUGCCUAGAGGGAAAUAGACAUAUGAAGUAACACCAUAAACAGAUAUUCUGUAUUUUCUUUUUUACGAUUCUACUCGUUUUGUCCCAUUUUACUUGACAUAUGGCUCACUUCAUAAGAAUGUUUAAAUAUUGAUUUCCAAAUAGCUUCACUUACUUGGUCCUAAAACAAUAUUAACAGACCAUGUAGCUUCCGGAAGGAUCUGUUCUGCUGUUUCUGUAAA
This is a long non-coding RNA of Neofelis nebulosa (Clouded leopard), 911 nucleotides long. RefSeq lists it as uncharacterized. The transcript has 5 exons. The record is from RefSeq and is a predicted model, not a curated record. Lineage: Eukaryota; Metazoa; Chordata; Mammalia; Carnivora; Felidae.